This 242-nucleotide ribosomal RNA is filed under the name uncultured bacterium. Its description in RNAcentral is "partial 16S ribosomal RNA". It matches the Rfam family "Bacterial small subunit ribosomal RNA", at positions 89 to 334 of the family's 1533-position model. The record is from RNAcentral.
CGACGAGUGGCGAACGGGUGAGUAAUAUAUCGGAACGUGCCCAGUCGUGGGGGAUAACUGCUCGAAAGAGCAGCUAAUACCGCAUACGACCUGAGGGUGAAAGCGGGGGAUCUUCGGACCUCGCGCGAUUGGAGCGGCCGAUAUCAGAUUAGGUAGUUGGUGGGGUAAAGGCCUACCAAGCCGACGAUCUGUAGCUGGUCUGAGAGGACGACCAGCCACACUGGGACUGAGACACGGCCCAG